RNAcentral lists this ribosomal RNA (478 nucleotides) under uncultured bacterium. RNAcentral's name for it is "partial 16S ribosomal RNA". It matches the Rfam family "Bacterial small subunit ribosomal RNA", at positions 28 to 507 of the family's 1533-position model. The record is from RNAcentral.
GAUGAACGCUGGCGGCGUGCUUAACACAUGCAAGUCGAACGGGAAUUAUUUUAUUGAAACUUCGGUCGAUUUAAUUUAAUUCUAGUGGCGGACGGGUGAGUAACGCGUGGGUAACCUGCCUUAUACAGGGGGAUAACAGUCAGAAAUGGCUGCUAAUACCGCAUAAGCGCACAGAGCUGCAUGGCUCAGUGUGAAAAACUCCUGUGGUAUAAGAUGGACCCGCGUUGGAUUAGCUGGUUGGUGGGGUAACGGCCCACCAAGGCGACGAUCCAUAGCCGGCCUGAGAGGGUGAACGGCCACAUUGGGACUGAGACACGGACCAGACUCCUACGGGAGGCAGCAGUGGGGAAUAUUGCACAAUGGGGGAAACCCUGAUGCAGCGACGCCGCGUGAAGGAAGAAGUAUCUCGGUAUGUAAACUUCUAUCAGCAGGGAAGAUAGUGACGGUACCUGACUAAGAAGCCCCGGCUAACUACGUG